UUUUUUUUUUUUUUUUUUUUUUGGGGGUGCCAUCAGCAACGUGAAUGAACUCAGAAAACCCCACGAUAAAAUGCAAAGAAGAAAAAAGGUAUCCACUCGUGGUACUGAAGUCUCCUAGUUGUCCGUACUGGAGAGUCUAGACAACUCCACUCAAUCAACGAGUCCUCAAAUCUCCAACUCCUUUUUCCUUUCAGUCCAAAAUCAAACACCUGGUGGGUCUUCAUGAUUUCUCCUCAAUCUUUUUCACAUAAUUCAGAAUUACCCAUCAAGACAAAGCCAAGUAGUUUGAUAUUUUUCAAGUUGAUAAUUUUGUAGAGCAGUAGUAAUGAUAUUACCAGUAGCAAAGCUAGGAACACUUGCCUUAAAGACAAUCUGCAAACCCAUUGCUAGACGCAUCAAGAAAGAGGCUACCUUUCACCCUCAAUUUAGAUUGUUCAUCACCAAUAUUGCCCAGGUCUAGUUUCUACUUGAUGAUACUACAUCCCUUUUUGCAGCUCAGGUUUUUUAGCUAUUUAGUUCUUUUGUUUUUCUGGGUUAUAAUUGAAAUUGAAUGAUACUGCAAGAUAUCUUGAUUGUAAUGUUAAUGCUCAGUAAAUUCUGCUGCUGUAGAAUCUUGUAAGUUGGUGUAGUUAGAUUUGCUUUCCCCUUCAGUAUUAUCUUCUGAUAUUUCUUAGAAUUGAUCUUCUGAUUUGUCAUGAGUCGUCUGCAUUAUAUUUGUGGAAAAUAACAAGGAGCCCAGAUAUUCUAUGAAGGAUUGAUGGAAUGAUGUUUUGGAGAAUAAUUUCAAAGCUAUAACAUUAUUCGAAGAUAAAUAUAUAAUAAAACAAUUGGUGGCGUUAAAGAGGAAACAAAAAGCAUCGAGAAAGAAUAAGGCUAUUGUAUUUUUUAUUUGCUUUGGAUAGAAGCCAUUUGGAAACCAUUGUGACUGUAACAAAUGUAUUUAGGCCCUAAAGGACAUCACGAAAUGAUCUGAAACAUGUCACUGCUUUGUUAUUCAAUGUUGGCCCUUGCUUGGAAACAAAGAUUGUAGUUAUAAGAAGUGCACUCACACGUUUGCGUGAUAGCUGUAAGCAAAUAAUGACUCAGGGAACUUGAUAUUGCAUUAUUGCAAUCUGAAGCCAUACCUGUAUUGUGUCGAACUGUAAGGGUAUAAGGGCGUAGGAGAUCUGUAAAAGCUGAAUCUUUCAUCAGAGUUGGUGGAAGAAUCUGUGAGUAGUAUAUUAGAAUGAUGCUCUUUCUUCUCUGCUUAUGGGGAUUUUCUUUCCUGCAUAGACUUCACAGAUUCUUUUCUGUUCUUGCAUCAGGCAAACCACAGAUUAACAACAACUAUACAGAGGCAAAUUUAUGGACAUGCGACAGACGUUGCAAUUCGCCCUCUGAAUGAAGAAAAAGCUGUUCAAGCUGCUGCUGACCUGUUGGGUGAAUUCUUUGUUUUUACGGUAAUACUGAAUUUCUUCUCGUGUAUCAUUUUAGAUUGGGUCUCUGAGUUCAUUAUUCUUAAAGUCCUUUGUCUUGAACUUUUUUAGCGUGUAAUUGAUUUUUCUACCCUGUGGUUUGACUUGCUCUCAAUUUGCUGUGGUGAGGAUGUCCUGCCUUUUGGUCUAUUGUUGUUAAUAAUUGUUGUAUUAACAAAUAACAAUAGGUAUGUUUCUUUUCAGUGAUAUUUAGAAUUUGACCAUGCUUGACUAACUCUGAUGGUCAUUGUGGGUAGUGAUCCUGUCCACUUCAAGACAUAAAUGCCAUCUUGCUUUAUAUUUGAGCAAUUUUGUGCGUUCUGCUUUCUUUUGUUGUAUUUAACUCUUUCAACAAUAUAAAAGUACCAAUAUUUUAUGCCUGAAAGGACAGAACAAAACAUGCUUGUCCGACAAGAAAGAUUUAUAUAUCUUAGAAGGAUCUCACUGUUCUUGAAUUUUUUCCCCUUUAUGUAACUUUUAAAAUUGAAAAUAUUUGUCAUUAGGCUGUCAAUGAUUGUUCUACAAUACGCUUAAGUUGUUCUACAACAAAAUUUGUUGUUCUUUGUAUUUAAAGAAAGUUAAUUAAGAAGUAAAAGGUUUAAUUUUUUAUCACUACAAAUGAUGGUUGCAAAGAAAAACAAAAACUGACUGAAUCAAAUGGAGCACUUUUCUAGGCAAGAAGGAAGUAAUAAGAGAGUACACCUAUGAACAAAUUCUAUAUAUGGAAGUAAAAGAUUUGCACCUACAGUGCAAUGCUACAUAUGGUUAAAUGAAAAAUUAACCCUCUACGGACAAACUAAUAACACGAAGAACUAUGAAAAUUAAUUGAAGGUACAUUUAAAGAGGAGAAAGGACCAUAAUAUUUUGAGGGAAAAAAUCAAACGGAGGGGAGGGCAAGAAAGUAUAACAAAAUCUUUUGGGGAAAAGUUAGGAGAUAAAAUAAAAUUUAUAUAAUGUUAGAAGUAAAAAUGCAGUUUGUCAGAAGUUAGGGGCUACUGCUGCUGCUGCUCCCCCAUUGCCUCCGCCACUGGUGAUGGAUAUUGUGAGUUGUGACUCAACUAUAUCCAUGAAUCACGUGAAAGAGUGCAACUUGUAGAAUCAACCAACAGAUGGCACUUAAUUUUCAUGACUAUAUGGUGAAAAGUAGGAUCUCUUCUGAAGGACGACAUGCUUUAUACUUGUUCUCGUUUGUUUUCAAGUAAAGGUAACAAAUUUUACAGUUUUAGGCCAAAUUGGAAAUGGUGUAUUGUUGGGUGCAAGUAGUAAGAUUACCGUUCGGGAAACAAAUUGUAACAAGCACAGUUGUUUGGAGGUGUAAGAUGAAAUUAUUUACUUGUGUUAUUUUGUAGUGCUAAAACUGGAUGUGCAUACUCUUUCAAGUUAUUUGUUGUGAUUCUCUUUCUUUGUCUUUCUGCUUAAGACACUAUCUCAUGGUCCAUUUCUUUUUAUUAGGUAGUCGGAGUGGCUGUUCUCUUUGAAGUGCAAAGAAAUGCUAGAUCAGAAGCUAGAAAGGAAGAAAUGCGUAAACAAGAACUAGAGGUCUGUAUUUUUUGUUCAUGUAGUUUCUUUUUUCUCCUUUUCUGAUGCUUUUUGUCUCUAUUCUCUUUAAGAUUUCUCUUUCAAAAUAAUUAGGCGGUAUGUUCAAUGGGGAAAAUGAUUGUCUGGACUUUUAUGAUGACCUAUUAUUAAAAUAGUUCUCCAUUUUGCUGUGAUGAGCGCUUUUCUGUUGUCAUAUUCUGGUAUACAUCACUUUCCAAAGUCACUUGUUCCCUUUGAACUGUCUACAUAAAGAUAGCAACCGGAUCAACUGCCAAAAAAUGUAGGAUAUGGACAUUCCCCUGAUGGGAUCCUGUAAAUGUCCUACGCUUGUGAAAUUCUAAUGGUUUUGUGGACAUCUCAUCUGGAACGCCUUUGUUAGGUCGAAAAGAACAUUAUAAUGAAUUAAAUGGCACACUGUAAAGACUUGUGAAUAUUUAAAAAUCAAGAUGGGACACAUAUCAUAAAAUUGUUUGUUUGAAGGAAGGUAAAGUGGAUAAGGAGAAUUGAAUCUUGUUCUGUUAAUGACUUAUUCUUAUGGUAAGUUCAAUGUUCUGCACUGAUCAAUGCCAGUUGUUAUUGUUUCCUUGUUAUGGUGAGUCCUGUGUUCUGCAGUGAUGAAUUCCAUUCGUUAUUUUUUCUAAUCACCUCAUUUUUUAAAUUUACCUGUUUCAAUUUCACUAGUUCAUCAAAGUCCUUUUUAAGAAGUAUGGGAUAGGAACACUUCCAAUAUCCCAUGAUUUUUAUGGCUUACAUGUGUAAGGCUAUGACACUUGAAGGACAUCUGGUGUGAUAUUUCUUUUGCUAAUUGUAAAGUGAACAUGAGUUGUUCAACCACAUCGCUUGUUAAGAGACUUGUUAAGACUUGAACAUGGCUCACCAUUUUAUCUGUUGAAUAUUGUAAAGACUGCCUAUAUUUAAUCAUUCUGAUAUAUAGCAACUUGGAGUGCUCAGAAAAUAAAAGCAACUUGGAGGACCCUGUACACUUUGAUUUCCUCAUGGUCUCAUGGUGCAUGGUCAUUUGUGAUAAAGCAUAAAUGACUGUGGAGACCAUAUAAUGCAUAUGCUAAGAAAGUUGGUUGCCUUUAAACAACUCAUUGCUAUACUGUAGAUUGCUAAAUUACCAUCUAGAAACAUUGUGCAUCUAGUACUGAAAUAGGCUGCACAUGUCUGCUGUGAAAUUUUGAUAUGGCAGAUUAUCAUGGGUUCUUAGCUUCUGUUGCUUUGGUCAUUUGUGUCUGUGCAGUAUGCUAGCUAGCUAGGUAAAGCCAUACACUAUAGCUAGAAGAUGCUUAAUCAUAUCAUUCACAGGGAAGAGAAGUGCCUGUCUAUGCGACAUAGUUAUUGUCAAGAAUUUCUUGACAUUAUUCUUUUUGUUUUUUUUUUAUUUAAUACAUUGUUGAGCAAUCAAGCAGUAGUUUCUUGGUCCUUUUUUUUGCAGCAGAGUAUCAGAGUAAAGUCCAUGAAAUUAUCCCUUUGCUAACUUUGCGCAUUUUCUUCACUAAUUUGACAUGAAACAUGCUUAUUUCUUCAAUUAGUUUUUGAGCACGUAGGAAAUCAUGGUGUUAAACAUUUUUCUGCGCAGGAAACCGAGUAGAGUUGAGGUUAUUUCUCUCAAUGUGAAUUCCUUCUGCUUCUUUUUUUCAUAUGAGAAAUUAAUUUGUUGUCAUUCAUAUUAGGCAUUGAAGCAACGAGAUGAAGAUUUGUCCAAAGAAGUUGAGAUUCUCAAGUACAAAGUCGUGGAACUGGAGCACCUUGUUAAAGGACGAAGGCAUAAUAUUUUCAGCUUGACGCAAGCUGAUAGCAUGAAUGACAAAGUUAAAACUUGAUUUAUUGUCGUGUCAUGGCAGUAAAAACUUGUCCAAUGGGAGUCGAAAUACUCAGAAUGGAACUUUGACCAGAGAUGCAAAUUUUAGGCAUUUCUGAGAAUCUGUAGCUGCUCUUGCCAAACUAAUAUGACUCAAAAAUUCUUGACUCCUUGCGGGAGCAAAAUCAGAUAAUACAAGUUGUAGAAAGAUGUAUGUUCACCAUCUUUUUAUGUGGAUCAGCUGGACUAGAUAAAGCGCAUUUGGAUAUUAAACUUGCAAUAGGGAGCCGAAGCAGAGUUCUGUCUCUUUUGCUCUGCAUGUCUAUUAGCGCGAGUACAUUUAGCUGUACUCUAUUUUGUAGCAUUUUCCUAAUCAACCACCAUCAUCAGCCUCUGUUUCAUGUCAUUCCUUCCACAUUGAAAUCGCCAACCAAAAACCAGAACCACUUCAAGCAAUGGCUAAGCACAAUAUCCAGAGAGUUUAUUUGCAAAAUGAAAAGAUUUAUCAUGCUAUUAGACCACCAGAGUGCGAAUUUCGGGGACCAAAAAUCUGGUGGUUAUGGUUUCUUUUAUGAAACUCUUAUUUUUUUUUUUUUGGUUGGUUAUUGUGAUUUCAAUCUUUUUCUUGGUGGUAAACUCUUGCAAUUUAUAGGCAAAAACUAGUAAAUUAAAUCGGUGUUUUUUUCCCUCAAUUUUCUGGUUUCAACACCAUAUAUGAUUGGGCAAUUUAAUGUCAAUUUGACUCUGUGUAUAAAAGGAUUUGUUUUGAAGUGGUAAUUUGACAAUAUGGUUUUGUUGGAGCAAUGGAGCUGCAACAAAUGUAAAAGAGCAAUUGAAGGAAGAGUCGGGAUUUGGCAGUAAUAUAGUAGCAUUUUAAGGAAGCAGUUUUUUUAAAAAAAAAAAAAAAAAGUUCUCCUUGUUCCUUCCGGGGAUUAUAAAAAAAAAAAAAAAAAAGCACCAAUAGAAUUAUAAACAAACCGAAAAAGUAGAAUAAAAACAGAACAUUGGAAAUAUUAACUUACAAUUUACAGUUAAAAACAGAACAGAUAGAUAUCGAUACGUACAUUAAAACAUUGGAAAUAUUAACUACUUAAAACAUUAAUUGUUUCCCUAAUGCAAAUGAGUCAAACUUUGUUCAACGGAUAGAUAUGAAUACGGGGAAUAUGUGCAAUCUUGGGCCACUCUGCACCACUUCCUUUGGUGCAUCUCUCUGCUAAAAGAGGACACCUGGUGAUAGAUAGAUAAUUUAAAUUGGUGAGGUGUCGCAUUGCUUCGGCAGAGGGCAAUUGUCUGAGGUUAGAGCAAUUACUAGUCACCAAUUUUCGAAGAUUCCGAAGGCUACCCAUCCACUCUGGAAGAACUUCCAACCCCUCAAACCUGCAAAGAAGUAAAGUUCCCAAGGUAGAGAGAUGCUGAAUUUGGUCUGGGAGAGACGUGAUUUUUGGCCAUCCAUACAAUCCAAGACUCUCCAGAGAGACGAGAUUGGUGGUGGAGUGUGGCCCCGGAAAAUGAUCAAGGUCGUCAGAGAAGCCACCGAGUUCCAAGUACCGGAGACUAGGGAAUACCUUAAUUGAUGAAGAAGAAUUCGAGGGAACCAUUGCAUCUGACCACUCCUCUAGACUUCCCAUGUUCCGAAGCACAAAGCGCGACAGUUUCGGAAACAGAGUGACUGGUUUCCCAUCUCUAUUACUACAAGAAGCGCUGCGCCUUGCAUUAAUAUCGAGACCAUAGAAUUCUGCCCCAAUGCGCUUCACAUUGUGUAAGGAGACCAUCUCUAAGGACUCGAGACAAGGCAAGUCCCCUAGUGGUGGUACUUGUUCACACUUACCCAAUUCCUCCAACGUGAGGCGUACCAGAUUCCGAAGUACCGUCACGCGAUCCUUUGCCACCAUCCACGACGGAAACCUUGAACCUUUGAAACCACUAAUGGCUAAAUCUUUCAAGUUUGGGUGAGGUUGGAGACCUUCCAUGACACUGUUGAUGUUGUCGUCACAAUCUUCUUUCGUGCCAUCCCAUGAAAGUCUUAAACCUUGAAUGCUUGAUUUUUUGGACAAAUUUGCUUUUGCUGCGGAUUCAAAGCUGCUCACAUUCUCAAGUCCAAAAAUUUUUAGCUCGCCUCGGAGGUUGCGCAAGCAUUCCAACUCCUCAAGUUGACAUCCCUUGGCUUGGCUUAUCCUGAAGUGGGGCAACGUCCGAAGAUUAGCCAACUGCCCAAUCCCUGGGAAAAAACAUGAUUGGCCCAUAGCAGAUGAACACUCGAAAUGCCUCAAGUUAAUUAAAUUGCUAAACUUCUCAGGUAUCUCUUUCAAGUAAUACACUUUCAAGGUCAUCAAAUCAAAUUGUAGAGCUUUGUGAUGGAAUCUGGCAGAACGGUGAUUUUUGUUCGACUGAUAUCAAGAUGUAUUAAAUGUUUCAUAUCACCCACUGCAUUCGGGAGAUGAGUAACAAACCAGCAGUCUACUAUUAACACAGAAAGAUAUCUAGACCUUUCCAAAAUGUCUUCGAGCAUGAUACCAUCACCCCCAAAAUAAUAAAGCGUUUGCAAAUUUGGAGGAAUCCCUUCGAUAUUCUUUAACACCUUCCCUCGACUCCCAAUGACGGUCAAAUGCAUAACUUCAUCAUCAUGACUGACCACCAUGCCAUCCUCUGUAUUUAAGAAACAAUUAUUUGACACUUGCAGUGAAAGAUCGUGCACAAGGUGGUGCAUCCGGCAGGACAUGAUUCCGUUAGUGGAAUUCUCAGAAGUAGCUUGCAACAAAGAACUCCGAAGCAAUACGUUGAAAUAGUCACUGCCUAUAUCCUCCAUUUGCAAAUGACCUCCUCCCUUGGCAUCAUUGAUCAACCCCUGGGCCAUCCAAAUCUGUAUCAAGCUUUCUUUUUCCAUUUUAGUGUCCUUCGGGAAAAUGGAACAACUUGCAAAGCAUUGUUUCACUGACAAUGAAGGUAAGUUCUCAUAACUCAGCUUCAGGGCAGACAUGACUCGUUUUGCAAUAUCGGUCGACUCGUUCCAUAUUUCACUCUUCUCAAGCUUUGACCAUUCCAAGGCAUCCUUUUUGGAAUACAACAAACCCCCAAUCACUUUGAUCGCUAGUGGCACGCCGCCGCACUUUUUCAGUAUCCUUCUGCCAACGUCCACCAGAUCUCGAGUCUUUCUUGCACCACCGUCUGCAAAUGCUAGUUUUUCAAACAGCAUCCAGCUAUGAUCAUCUGAGAGGAUGUCUAGAUGAUGCAAACGAGAUGUUUGCAUUGCUGAGGCUACCUCAUCACUACGUGUGGUAGCCAAUAUUUUGCUUCCUGGAGCACCCCCAAUUGCCAACAGACAUAUCCUCAUGCGAUCCCAUUUCAGUGGAUCCUCAUUCCAAAUAUCAUCAAGUACAAGCAAGCAACUUUUACCUUUCAGAUUUUCUUGAAGCUUCCUCACCAAUGCUUCCGUGUUUGUCGUGUCAGCACUUUUUCCCUCGAGGGAUUGUAGCAUCUCAUUCAACAGCCUUUCCACUUUGAAAUCAUCAGACACACACACCCAUAUUGUUUUAUCAAAGUGCUUCACUACACUGUCAUUUUUUAGCACCAUCUGUGCGAGGGUUGUUUUACCCUGGCCACCCAUCCCAACUAUUGAGAUGACAGGUAAAUCCUUCUUAAAGUCUGAGCUAAUUAACAUGCUUACAACUUGAGAUACCUCAACCUCCCUUCCCACCGUUUCUGACUCGUCCACAAAAGGAUCAGUCGACCGAUCCUCUUUGUGAUCAGCAGAUGUCAUGGGUAGUUGAGCUGGAUGAAGCCCGAUCUGAUUUGCUUCUCUGUAAGCUUCCUCUAGAGAUGCGCUAACAUUCUUGAUCUUGUUAGCCAUCUCUAGACGAAAGGAAAUAGGAUUUGAGGAAGAAAAGAAGUUGCGUACCUUGUCGCGCUUCCGAUUCUCAACCUUCUGCCGCAGAACUUCAUAUCCGAAGUCAUCCAACACGAUCUCAGCAUCACGUGCUAUGGACUGGAGCCUUUUGAGCCAGAGCUGCACGGUUUUGGUUGUUGAUUGCUUGCAUUUAGCAUCAAAAAUCAAAGCUUCCAUCGUCCUUACAUUGUCGGCAAGCUUCUGAAGGUCUUUCUUUACCCCCCAUGCCCGGCUGAUCUCGUCGGCAGCAAGUGGAAGUAUCUUAUCCAAGAUCACACUAACAAAACUAAGCACGGUGUCAGCCAUCUUCAAGGGAAACUCUUUAACAGAUGAAGGUAAAAUGCUUUGUUUGAAGUUGAACAGUUGAACUAUAUUUUUUGCAGGCAGAGAUGGUCAACAUUCAGCAGCUAGCGUUAGAAAGCAGGGAAUCCAUUACUUAUCUUCCAUUUCACUUUUAACAAAACGAAAUUUCCUACCAAGUUGGAAAACUAAUAAAAAAUAAAAGUACUGCUCCAAGAAAAGACUAGAGAUGAUGUCCAACGACCAAUUCAGGACCACACGGCUUGUGGGUACCAUUGAAAUAAUUGAAUCCAUAGACCAAACCAACUUUUUGUUCUCGUGGCAGCAUUCAUGUAUUUGGGUAAAGUGACUACUACACUUGCAAUCGAGUAAUGCAACUUUGCAUAUGUGACAAAACUUAUCUGUGCCUAUGCUUACACUACAUUACCCCAAUGUUCUCAUAAUUCAUUGCCUAACGCUGGAGAGAAGUGUUAAAAACAGAAAAAAAAAAAAAAAAAAAGAAGAAGCUUUGUUUCUUUCUUGAACAAUGCAAUGCAGCAGCAUGUAUCUUCCACUUAUUUUUUUUGUUUUUCUUUUCCGUGGCUUUUGGUUGGGUCUUCACAUGUUAAUGCAAAAUAUGGUGCUUAUGAUAACAAUAACUAGAAUGGUAUAAAAGUCUGGUCGGAUGCAAUGUGGGUCUCGUUUGGCAAAUGAAUUUUUGAGCGUUUGUUUAAAAUUUUACUGUAAUUUACUAUAAAAGUUGUAAAAAAAAAUUUUAAGAUAUAAAAACUUUUAGAUAUUUUUAAAUGCAUAAUUUAUAAACUUUGAGAAAUUUUUUUAAUGUACUACUAUAAUUAAAUUUGCUAAAAAAUUUGUAACAAAUAAAUUAAUUUGUCAAACAGGAUUUUGGAACUCAAAAGAAGACAUGAGUAAAAGAUUCUCAGAGAAAGGGUGUGAAAAAUUAAAGAAAAGAUUUGCCCAACAUUGAACUUUCAACCUCUAGAUGCUCAGAAUGGUCUAUACCUAUGACUAAGUGUGCCCAGACAAGAUCCUACAAUAUAUGCAAAUGCCUAACCAUACAUCCAAAUCGUGGUCUCCACCAGCACAUGUUCAUAAAGCAACUACUGACUCACGGCACCAACCAUGAAUGUGGAGGGCCGGGAAUCAAAUUAUUCCCAUCUACUGAAUUGAUGGAAAUAUAUCAGCUUGAUGAGAGAAUCAAGAAAAGAAACAAGAAUGUAAAUUCCCAUGGACGCAUCACAACAGCAUUUGGUUGUAUCAUUUGACAAUUUCAAUACCUAAAAAGAUCCUUUGACUAAAAAUGACAAUUAACAACACAGUCAACCGAAUAUUGCGAAUAUAAUACAUACACUACAAGGUCUUUCAUUCAUUGAAUCCAAGAGAAGUUUAUUGGCAGACGCUAUGAGCCGGAGAUGUUUCGAUUUUUCCUCAGUACAUGCAAAUAUUAUCAGGUACAAGAAGCUAGUGUUGAACAGAGGACCAAGAGUUUGUCUCUAACCAAUUGAAGGCUAUAGGGCUCAAGAACGCAUCAGGAAUGCCAAAGGAGCUGACUAACGAAAGUGCAUGCGGUCUCAGUUCCCCACAAAGCUUUGCAACUUCUUUUCUCACUGCUGCAGCAUUGUCUACUGACAGGAAGCCGUAUCGGAGAAACGCAGAGUCUUCUUCCAAGGUAACGAGGGCAUACAUGGAUCUCAAAAGACCUAAUAUACUCUGCAAGAAGGUUCACAAUCGAUUAACCAUGCGCUGUAAGAUGAUAGUUAGCCAAUGGAUGUUGUUCAUCUUAUUUGUAAACAUUCAAUUAUCAACUAGAUACAGAAAAUCGUAUCAAAAUUUCCAUCCACACACAACAUGAUACUUCUCUGAAGUUUCCUAAACAAAGCCAUAACAAUCUGUGCUAUCAUUCCUCAAGAGGAGGAAUUCUUCUGUUACUUGUGUUUUUCAUAUACGAAGGUUAAGUUGGACGCCAGAGGCUUCAGUGUAGGACACAUUACACCAGAACACUUCAUGGGUAUGACGGCUUCUGUUUAAAACAUAUGGACAUACAGAAACCGCAAAAUGCUUAUAGUUUAUGCGGUGGCUAUUACCUUAAGAGUGGCAUCCGUUACAGUAGUCUCAGCAUCCACAAAAGUUUGAAAAAUUGCCCGGUCGGAAAACGCUCUGCCCAAGUCUUCAGCGAGCUGAUAGCUCUGGGAAGAUGGACACAGUACCCUUGAGAGAGAGAGAGAGAGCAGGUCUCACAAUGGAACUUAUAUUUAAGAAGAGAAUCUAACCAUUACAAAAGCGUGUUCUUUGCUCUCUCCUUGUGCUUGGCGUUGUGAAAUUUCAGAAGCAAAACGGUUCAAUAGGUCUCUCUCUCUUAGACAUCACAUAUCAUGCUGUGACAAAAAUGUAUCAGAGAAUUUACAACUUAUUUCAAGAGGAAUCAACUUAACGAGGAAUGAAAGAAAAGCUUCAUCACCUCAAAGUCAAUGCUCCUCAUGACAGUACUUGUUAGCUGAGAAGGUAUAACGGGGGAAGUCUUGUUCAUGUGCUCUAAACCCAACCCUUCGAAUGGUUUAUUCCGCUUUUUUGCCGCUACAUAUUCUGCCAAGAGUGCCUUACUUGUUAUAAAACUGUAGUAAAGAACAAAACUAUACUAGACAAAUAUAGAGACUUUGAGGCGUGAAAGCACUUUCCUUAAGGUGUUAUUUGCCUCUAUUAGACAAAUUACCUCUAGGAUACAACAAAGUCUAAGAACUAUCAAAUGAAAAGUAAAAGUGAUUUAAUUCUGUCGAAAUCCUACUAUUUAAAAGGAUUGAAGCACCUAUUCAAGGCACUAUCAGAGGAUGCAAUCUUUAUUGAAUAGGCGUUUGGGUAGUUAGCCAAUUAACAGAUAUGUUUGCAAAAUGUAACCGCCAACCGCCAUUAACUACCUCUGAUUGACACCCUUUCAGAAAGCCCCAAGGUGCCCCAAGUGCCCAAGUGCCCUUGUCAAGAUUUUAUAUAUCUUGAAAUAAGUUUCCCACCAAACUUUCCCUCCAAACUAUUAUCUUGGAACAAGUUUGUAAAGGAAUAGGACAAUGACUCAUAUAUAGGCAACAUGCACUUUAUCCUCUUUCAAUGUGGGACAAUGGAUUUCAACAUACUCAUUACAAACUAUUACCAACAAUCCCCCACUUAGUUUGUAAUGAAAUCAAAUCAGCACUCAUAUUAUCUUGCAUAGAGAAAGGUGUUUGUGAACUUAAACCCUUCUCUUAGUGUAAAUAUUUCACUUGUUCUAACAAGUUAUGGUGGCUACAUUGCUUAAACCAUAACUUUAAAGUUAAAACAGAAAUAGCACACACAAGAUUAUACCUUUUCGGAGAAUAGUUCACGAAAUGAUUUUAGCACUUUUACUGGCCGUGUGCUCCAUCCUAGAUUCAUGAUCAUUUACAAAAGAAAACCCCCACUUUUGCUGGGAGCGGCACCACUCCCAUGAUCAUAUAGGUGAAGUACAUUUCUAGCCUUUAUUACCAAGGCACUAUGAAACCAUAUUUAACUUCAUUAAGAGUAUGAUACUCAGCCUCUUAUGUAUCAAACUGCACUAGUACCUUGGAAUGGUAUGAUACAAUUUCUAGUGCUCACAACCACUUAUUAGUAACUUGUUAUUACCCUUUAAACCUUUCACCUAGUGUUAGUGCUAGAAGAGAGGUUGGGUUACCAUUACUAGUGGUUUUAGACAAUGGGUUUUAACCCCAUUCCCAAUGACGUUGCUUUCACUACAUCUCUUGAGAGAGCUUUAGUGAAUGGAUCCGCCAAAUUGUUGAAUGAUCUAACAUACACUACUGUGACUAUGCCAUCAUUCAAUAAUUGUCUGACAUAUUCAUGUCUUAGACUUAUAUGUCUAGAUUUGUCGUUAUAUAUUCUAUUUAGUGCUCUAGACAUAGUGGCUUCGCUAUCACAAUGCAAAGAAAUGGCUGGCAUCGGGUUUGGCCACAACUCGAUGUCUAACAGUAAGUUUCUUAGCCAUUCGGCCUCUUUGCAUGCAGCUGCUAAGGCUACAAACUCAGCCUCCAUGGUGGAAUGAGUUAUGACUGUUUGUUUCUUUGAUGCCCAAGAAACAGCUCCUCCACCCAACAUAAAAAUCCAUCCAGAAGUAGAUACUUUGUCACAUACACUGGUUACCCAACUUGCAUCGGAAUAACCUUCAAGUACAACCGGAAAUUUGUUAUAGGAAAGCUCUAAAUCUUUUGUCCUUUUAAGAUAUCCAAGCACUCUACCUAUAGCUUUCCAAUGCUCUAUACCAGGAUUCUUAGUGUAUCUAGCGAGUCUACAAACUGCAUAUGAAAUAUCUGGCCUAGUACAAUGUGUAGCAUACAUUAGGCUACCAAUUGCACUAGCAUACUCUAAUUGAGCAAUUGGCUUUCCAGAAUUUUCAAACAACUUAAAGUUAGGAUCAUAAGGAGUGCUUACUUCUUUUAUCUUCAAAUGUUGAUACUUGUUCAAAACUUUCUCAACAUAAUGAGAUUGACUUAAAGAAUAGCCCCCACUAUGUCUCUUAACUUUAAUUCCUAAGAUAGUAUCUACUUCUCCAAGAUCUUUCAUCUUGAAUAUAGAAGACAAAUACUUCUUAGUUUCUUCAACGCCUUUGUAAUUAAUACCAAUAAUUAGCAUGUCAUCUACAUAUAGACAGAUUAUCACACCAUACUCUCUAGUAAACUUGGAAUAAAUACACUUAUCAGCAUUAUUAUAUUUAAAACCAUUAGAGAGUAUAGCAGAUUCAAACUUUUGAUGCCACUGUUUAGGCGCUUGUUUUAGACCAUACAAAGACCUUGUUAGUUUGCAAACUUUCUUUUCAUUCCCUGGUAGAACAAAACCUUCUGGUUGAUCCAUAUACACCUCUUCAUUUAAGUCACCAUUUAAAAAGGCCGUUUUCACAUCCAUCUGAUGUACACACAAAUCAAACAUUGAAGCCAAUGCUAAUAGUACUCUUAUAGAUGUAAUUCUAGCCACUGGUGCAUAAGUAUCAAAAUAAUCGAUUCCCUCCUUUUGCCUAAAUCCUUUUGCUACUAAUCUUGCCUUGAAAGUUUGUACAGAUCCAUCAGUAGCAUAUUUCUUUCUAAAUACCCACUUACAGCCAAUUGGUUUAGAACCCGGAGGCAAAUCAACUAGGAUCCAAGUAUUAUUACUUAAUAAUGAAUCCAUUUCAUCAUUAAUUGCCUCUCUCCAAAACGAUGCAUCUCUCGAUUUCAUAGCUUCACUAAAAGUUUUAGGGUCAUCUUCUACAGUUAACAAGAUAGGAAUCUUGUCAAGUAGAAACUGUCUAUCGCCUUCAACUAGGAAAACAAUAGCUUGUGAAUCUAUAAAAUCAGAGGAUAAAUGUUUUUCUUUCCGUUGCCUUUGACUCCUCCUUAACUCACUUGGAAUGUCCCCUGCAUUCCUUUUAUUAUUGUUGGAGGGUCUAGCAUUGGAAACAGGCGGUGGCUCUUGGCUUGGAUCUGUACUCAUUGUCGAAUUAUAAAGAAAUUUACCUUCUAAAAAUUCGACAUCUCUAGAUUCCACAAUGACGUUAGAAUCUAAAUCUAGCAACCGAUAUGCUUUUGAAUUUUCAGCAUAGCCUACAAACACACUUUUAAGUGCUCGAGGUCCUAAUUUUGUCCUUUUAUGAUCAGGGACUCUAUAAAAGGCUAUACAACCCCAAACUCGAAAAUACUUCAAUUUUGGUUUUCUACCUUUCCAUAAUUCAUAUGGUGAUACCUUCGAUUUAAGCGAAGUUACUCGAUUAUGUAUGUGACAAGCAGCCAGUAAGGCCUCUCCCCACAAAUUUUUAGGCAGUCCAGAACUUAUAAUCAUGAAUAUAGAAGACAAAUACUUCUUAGUUUCUUCAACGCCUUUGUAAUUAAUACCAAUAAUUAGCAUGUCAUCUACAUAUAGACAGAUUAUCACACCAUACUCUCUAGUAAACUUGGAAUAAAUACACUUAUCAGCAUUAUUAUAUUUAAAACCAUUAGAGAGUAUAGCAGAUUCAAACUUUUGAUGCCACUGUUUAGGCGCUUGUUUUAGACCAUACAAAGACCUUGUUAGUUUGCAAACUUUCUUUUCAUUCCCUGGUAGAACAAAACCUUCUGGUUGAUCCAUAUACACCUCUUCAUUUAAGUCACCAUUUAAAAAGGCCGUUUUCACAUCCAUCUGAUGUACACACAAAUCAAACAUUGAAGCCAAUGCUAAUAGUACUCUUAUAGAUGUAAUUCUAGCCACUGGUGCAUAAGUAUCAAAAUAAUCGAUUCCCUCCUUUUGCCUAAAUCCUUUUGCUACUAAUCUUGCCUUGAAAGUUUGUACAGAUCCAUCAGUAGCAUAUUUCUUUCUAAAUACCCACUUACAGCCAAUUGGUUUAGAACCCGGAGGCAAAUCAACUAGGAUCCAAGUAUUAUUACUUAAUAAUGAAUCCAUUUCAUCAUUAAUUGCCUCUCUCCAAAACGAUGCAUCUCUCGAUUUCAUAGCUUCACUAAAAGUUUUAGGGUCAUCUUCUACAGUUAACAAGAUAGGAAUCUUGUCAAGUAGAAACUGUCUAUCGCCUUCAACUAGGAAAACAAUAGCUUGUGAAUCUAUAAAAUCAGAGGAUAAAUGUUUUUCUUUCCGUUGCCUUUGACUCCUCCUUAACUCACUUGGAAUGUCCCCUGCAUUCCUUUUAUUAUUGUUGGAGGGUCUAGCAUUGGAAACAGGCGGUGGCUCUUGGCUUGGAUCUGUACUCAUUGUCGAAUUAUAAAGAAAUUUACCUUCUAAAAAUUCGACAUCUCUAGAUUCCACAAUGACGUUAGAAUCUAAAUCUAGCAACCGAUAUGCUUUUGAAUUUUCAGCAUAGCCUACAAACACACUUUUAAGUGCUCGAGGUCCUAAUUUUGUCCUUUUAUGAUCAGGGACUCUAUAAAAGGCUAUACAACCCCAAACUCGAAAAUACUUCAAUUUUGGUUUUCUACCUUUCCAUAAUUCAUAUGGUGAUACCUUCGAUUUAAGCGAAGUUACUCGAUUAUGUAUGUGACAAGCAGCCAGUAAGGCCUCUCCCCACAAAUUUUUAGGCAGUCCAGAACUUAUAAUCAUGGCAUUUACCAUAUUUCCUAAAGUUCUAUUUUUCCUUUCUGCCAAACCAUUUUGUUGCGGAGUAUAAGGUGCACUAGUUUGGUGUAUAAUUCCAUUUUCUUCACAAAAUUGAGAAAAAUCAGCAGGGAGAUAUUCCCCACCUCUAUCACUCCUCAAAAUUUUAACCUUCUUUCCUAGUUGAUUUUCCACCAGAUUUUUGUAACACUUAAACAUAUGAAAUGACUCAUCUUUCGUUUUCAUCAAGUAAACAUACACAUAUCUUGAAUAAUCAUCAAUGAAUGUGAUGAAAUACUUAUUUCCUCCUCUUGUUAGAAACCCAUUAAAUUCACAAACGUCAGAAUGAACAAGAUCCAACAAUUCAUUGUUUCUUUCUACUUUAGGAAAAGGUAAUCUGGUCAUUUUUGCUUGUAUGCAUGUUUCACACCUUUUUUCAACAUUAUCUUUGAACGAAAUUAGCCCAUGUUUAGACAUAAACUGUAAAGUUUUAUGAUUAGUAUGCGCUAAUCUACCAUGCCAAAGAGAAUAUGAAGCAUCAACAAUAUACACAGAAACAUUAUUUUUAUUGAUACAUAACUUGAACAUUCCAUCACAAGAGUAUCCCUUGCCUACAAAUACACCAUUCAAAGAGAAGAUAAGCUUAUUAGACUCUAUUACAGCCUUUAGCCCCUUUUUGUUUAAGGCAUCAGCCGACACAAGAUUUUUCCUAAUUUCUGGAACAUGAAGUACAUUGGCCAGUAUAAGUUUCUUUCCGGAAGUAAACUGCAAGUCUACACUUCCUAUGCCAAUGACCUUUGCUGUAUCAUGGUUUCCCAUCAAUACUUUAUGACCAUCAGGAACUUCUUCAUAAGUCUUGAAUUGGGACUUAUCAUUACAAACAUGCACGGUGGCACCAGAAUCAUACCACCAGUCACACGAUUUGGUUGCAGCAGCCACAUGCAACUCAGAAAUCAUGCCAAUGUUCCAAUGCGAAAUCAUUGCAACAAUCUCAGCAACAUCUUGUUCAACCAGAUUUGCAUUUUUGGCAUUGUCUUUCUUUUGCUUUUUGUUGCUAUCUGCCUUGCACUCACGCUUGUAAUGUCCCUUCUUGCCGCACUUAUAGCAGAUUCUAUUCUUCUUCUUGUCCUUAGAUGUACUUGCAUCUGGAGACUUUCUUUUGGAACCAGAAAAAUUCUGUGAAUUCUUCUCACUUAAAGCAUUCACUUUGACAUCAGAUUCUAUUUGCUUCUUUUGAAGAUUUCUGGUAUCUUCUUCAAUACGCAAAUGUUUCAAAAUCUGAUCUGUAGUGAAUGAUUCAGUAGUAUGGAGCAACUUUUUCUUAUAGUCAUUCCAACUAGUUGGAAGUUUGGCUAUAAUUGCUCCAACUUGCAAGGAUUCAGAUAUCUCCACUUUCAGAUCAUGUAACUUAGACACAAUCACUUGGAGAUCAUGAAUCUGAUCCAUAAGAGAAGAAUUCUCAAUGAUACGAAAAUCAAAAUAUUGCAUAAUCAGAAAUUUAUCCGCACCUUGUUUCAUCGUAUUAUACUUGUAUUCCAGCGCAUUCCAGAUUUCCUUUGGCGACUUGACUGCAGUAUACAGAUCAUACAAGCGGUCAGAAAGAGUGUUCAUGAUGUGUCCUCUGCACAGCAACUCGUCCUCUGCGCGUUUCCUGUGUUGUGCCUUGACUUCAUCAGAAUCACCAUCUUUAGGUUCUGGAAUUUCAGGAAGAGAAGGAUCCAAAACGUAAGCAAUCUUCAAAGCCGUCAGGAAAAACAUCAUCUUAUCCUUCCAACGGGAGAAGUUAGUGCCGUCGAAUCUGUCCAACUUCACGAAGUCCUGAUUCAUCACUUUGAACGCAGAUUCAGAACUUGACUCCAUUGUUGAUAAUAACACCUUAAGAUUGUUAUAAAACUGUAGUAAAGAACAAAACUAUACUAGACAAAUAUAGAGACUUUGAGGCGUGAAAGCACUUUCCUUAAGGUGUUAUUUGCCUCUAUUAGACAAAUUACCUCUAGGAUUGUCAAGAUUUUAUAUAUCUUGAAAUAAGUUUCCCACCAAACUUUCCCUCCAAACUAUUAUCUUGGAACAAGUUUGUAAAGGAAUAGGACAAUGACUCAUAUAUAGGCAACAUGCACUUUAUCCUCUUUCAAUGUGGGACAAUGGAUUUCAACAUACUCAUUACAAACUAUUACCAACAUUACUAACCUGGCACCAGACAUCCCAUUGUUAGCUGCUAGCAUUAGUUGCAAAAUCAACACAUCAGUCAAAGAGUGCCAUUUCAAAUUACUAGCAACAUGAGUGUCAUGAACUGGAUGACAUUUGUCAUAUGGCCUUAGGAAUUUAGUUUGAGAGUCUGAUGCAUGGUAAACUUACUAGAGCAGAUGGCUUUGUUUCAUUCUUGAACAAAGCGAUAGAGUAGCAUAUAUAUUCCACUUCAAAAUUUUAAGAAAGAAAAUCCACUUGUUGUCUAUCGUCUCUGAGAAUCAAGAAAAAUAGACACGUGCGCUUUGCGUCCUGCCUUGCAAACCAGCCAAAACUCGCGGGAGUCACACAUGUGAAGUGAAACCCUUUUCAUGGCUGAGAUUGAGACUACUGACUGAAUAUUGCAAUUAUAAUAUACACAGUACACGAUGCAUAAUUCAAAUGAUCACAUUACAAGGAUUUCAUUCAUUUAAUCCAAGAGAAGUUUAUAUAAUGACCGAAUUUAUUGUAUUGAGAUAUCUGACAUUUCUGCAGUUAUUUUAGCACUAGAAUAAAAUAAAGGGAUAAUUGCAGAAACCUCCCCUGAGGUUUCUGACAUUUGCACUGACCUCCUCUGUUGUUUGAAAAAUUACACUGACCUCCCCUGAGGUUACUAAUCCUUUGCAAAUUUAGUCUAAACAAUUAAAAUAUUAUUUUAAGGAGUGAAAUUAGAAUUUUGUACCAGAUUUGCCUUUGUGCCAUAUAUCCAAUGAAUGACAAAGUACUAUAAAUCAAUUAACAAUUAAUAAACUUUAAGGAGUAUAAUUUAUAGGCAAACACGCAUUACUCAUUUAAAGUACCGGCUCUUUAUGAGUAUUUUACUUUCAAAUAUUUAAUUUAUGAUAAAUAUAUCAAUAUUUGUAAGUAAAAUUCAAAAAUUGUUAUAGUAAUAUUCUUGCAAAAAGGAAAUCAAUAGGUUAUUUAUGUAAUAUAAAUUAGGGAGAACUGCACCAAUCGUCCCUCACAUAUUACAGAUGUGAAAAUUUAGUCCCUCAAAACAAAAAUGAUCAGAUUUAGUGCCUAACAAAUAAAAAAUGAUUACCUUUAAUCCUUUUUCACUUUUCCGAACAAAUUUUGGCCGGAAUUCAUUGGGUCCACUUGCAAUGCCCAAUUUUUAAAGGGUAAAUUUGACAAAUCACCGUUGACCAAUUAUGCGAAGGACCAACUUUGCAAAACUUUAGUUAAACAUUCAUUAAAAAAAACAAAAAAAUUAACCCACCAUUAUUUGCAAUUCAUCUCAACCCAAAAUCUUAAUACCAAGCAAUUCAAACAGUAUAGCAUUGGCCUUAAUAAAUCUCACCAUUGUGCUCAAGUAAAUAAGUAAUUUACUAAAAUCAAUCUCUGAUAAAAAAGCAUGUACUGAUACUAGCACUAGUAUAAAGUCCUUGCCGUUCAAAUUUAUCCACCGCUUUCAUUUCUUAAUGGCCGCCUGAGCUUCUUCCCAGAAGCCAUUAUCACAAAUGCAAAGCCCUUGUUUUUAUCAUCUUUUUGCUUUAUAAUUUGCCACAUCCAAGAAAAACAAAAACCACCCCUCAAAAUCACUUCUUCAACAAAUUCAUCCAAGAAAAAAAAAUAGAAAACAUGAUUCAAAAUGACUCCUUUAACAAAUUCAUCGAGAUAAACAAGACCCACCAUUUAAAAAUCACUUCAUUAACAAAUUAUGUAGGACAAACAAAACCCACGAUUUAAUGUCACUUCAAUAACAAAUUCAGACCCAAAAGAAAAAAGAACAACCAACUAAAAUCAUUUCUUCAACUUCAACAAAAGUAUCCAAAGUAAAUUCUUUAAUAGAAAUACCAAACUCAUGGAAGUACCUCAACAUCAGUAACAGUGCCGCAUUCAGCAAAGAGGUUCUUGAUAUUAGCAACGGUGAAAGACCAUGGCAAAUUUAGCACAAAAAGCUUUCUUUUCUGAUUGGUUUGUGGGAUUGACUCUAUUUUUCCUUCGGUUGGCUCUGUUUUUUCUUCUACUGUAACAACUUCUUCAACUGUAGAGGUUGAGUAUAUUUGGAAUCUUGGUUUUAUCGUGAGUGCAGUGGAGGGAGGGGAAAUAGUGAACGUUUUAAGAAAAAAGAAAAGGCACAGGUGAAAAUGGGAAGUUUAAGGAAGUGUAAAGAGCAUUUAGGGGAAGUUGACGGGAAGGAAGAGGAAGAAGAAAGUAUGAAAAAUGCUGCUGCUUCAAUUACAACCAUUGCUGCAAAUUCUUUGGUUUAGGAUUAAAAAAUACAUAUCGUAAUCUGGAAUUCUGGUGUUGUCUUCUUCAUUCAUUAGCUUGGUUAGCCUUUCUCUUACAAGUCUUCAAUCAUCAAUUUCCUUCAGAUGAAUUUCAAUCAGUUGGGAGUUUGCAAUUCGGGUUUGUUUUGCGUUGAGAUGAAUUGCAAAUAAUGGUGGGUUAGUUUUUAUGUUUUUUUUUUUUUUAAUGAAUGUUUAACUAAAGGUUUGCAAAAUUGGUCCUUCGCAUAAUUGGUCAGUGAUUUGUCAUUUUUACCCUUUAAAAAUUGGGCAUUGCAUGUGGAUCCAAUGAGUUCCGGCCAAAAUUUGUUCGGAAAAGUGAAAAAGGAUUAAAGAUGAUCAUUUUUUAUUUGUUAGGCACUAAAUAUGAUCAUUUUUGUUCUGAGGGACUAAAUUUUCACAUCUAUAAUAUGUGAGGGACGAUUGAUGCAGUUCUCCCUAUAAAUUAAAUAUUUUUUUUAAAAAAAAUAAAUGGCCCAUAAAGUAUUAAUUUUUUAUGGCUUUCAUCCAUUACACGAGUAAAGUAUUCGCUCUUUAUGUGCAUUUUAUUCUGAAUUAUUUAAUUUACGUUAAAUACAUAAAUGUUUAUAACUAAAAUUGAAAAAGUGUUAUAUUAAUAUUUUUACGGAAGAGAGAUUGUUAGGUUUUGUAUUUAACAAAAAUUAAAUAUUUGAAAGUAAAUACAAAUCUGUAUUUGAGCGUAAAUAUUUGUGUUAAAUUAAAUGUUUAAAAGUAAAAUACCCUUAAAGAACCGGUACUUUAAAUAGUUACAGGCUCUUUAUAGGCAAACACGCAUUACUCAUUUAAAGUACCGGCUUUUUACGGAUAUUUUACUUUCAAACAUUUAAUUUAUGAUAAAUAUAUCAAUGUUUAUAAUUAAAAUUCAAAAAGUGUUACAGUAAUAUUCUUGCAAAAAGGAAAUCGGUAGGUUAUUUAUUAAAUAUAAAUUAAAUAUUUUUUUAAAAAAAAAGAAAUGGCCCAUAAAGUAUUAAUUCUUUAUGAUUUUCAUCCAUUACAUGAGUAAAGUAUUGGCUCUUUAUGGGUAUUUUAUUCUGAAUCAUUUAAUUUAUGUUAAUACAUAAAUGUUUGUAACUAAAAUUGAAAAAGUGUUAUAUUAAUAUUUUUACGAAAGAGAGAUUGGUAGUUUUUAUAUUUAACAAAAAUUAAAUAUUUGAAAGUAAAUACAAAUAUGUAUUUGAGCGUAAAUAUUUGUAUUAAAUUAAAUGUUUGAAAGUAAAAUACCCAUAAAGAGCCGGUACUUUAAAUAGGCAAUGCGUAUUUGCCUAUAAACUAUACUCCUUAAAGUUUAUUAAUUGUUAAUUGAUUUGUAGUAUUUUGUCAUUCAUUGGACAUGUAGUACAAAGGACAAAUUUGGUAAAAAAUUCUAAUUUCACUCCCUAAAACAAUAUUUUAAUCGUUUGGACUGAAUUUGCAAAGGAUUAGUAACCUCAGGGGAGAUCAGUGUAAUUUUUCAAACUACAGGGGAGGUCAGUGUAAAUGUCAGAAAUCUCAGGGGAGAUUUUUGCAAUUAUCUCUAAAAUAAAUUAGUAGUGAUUGAACAGGUCUAGUUCUUUUUUGCAUGAUCUCAGCUUUUGUUAAUGUUGAGUCAAGUCGAUCAUUUGACCGAUCACCUCAUAAGUAGCUUGCUAGCUCUGUUUGAUUAGUUUGCACCCCUAUUGCAACUUGUAUCUUUGACUUGCACCCACACGGGGUCAAAAAUUUAUGAGUCAUAUUAAUUUGGUAAGAGCAGCUACAGAUCCUCAAAAUGCGCAUUUAGCAAAUCUAUUUGGAUCCUUUAAUAUUUCAAAAAUUAGUUUUUCAAAUAAAAAUUUUUAAAAAAUAUUCUAAAAAGUAGUCUAAAUUUUUUUUAUUAUUUAAAAAAUAUUUUAAAAAAUAUUUUAAAAACUCUGCUACUCUUAAAUAUUCCAAAAUACUUUUUAAAAAUAUCCUAAAAUAUACUCUCAAAACUCUGUUAUAGUAAAUUUUUUUAAAAAUACUUCCAAAAAUAGCUAAUGGAAACGGAGCUGCCUGAUCAAAGUUCCAUGAAAGUAUUCUGGCUCCCAGUUUAAAGGUUUUUAGCGUCUGUGCCAAGUCACUAAAUCAAGUCUUGAAUUUGUCAUCCGUGCUACCAGCUGGCCAGAAGUUGGAAAUAUGAUGUCCUCGUCAAGGCGCUCCAGUUCUAAGACUUUGUGCUUAGGAAUCUCAACUUCUUUGGGCAAAUUUUCACAGACGACCAAUUAAAUAAUAUCUCAUAGAAAAAAGCAAGGAGAAUUAAUCCCUAGCUCUGCCCUUUUUUUUGGGGCAACCCCUCACUCUACUUAGUUUCCUCCACGGUAAAAAUGUUUCAUUUGCCCAAUUUGGACAAUAGUGCAAGAUUUCCUAUGUGCUCAAAAACUAAUUGAGGUAAUAAGCAGGUUUUCUCUUCUGGAUGCCGCUUCUUUUUACUUCUUCAAAAUUCAAAUGGCACCUGAGGAUGCUCACAUCGGCGGUCCCUGUAUGGCCGAGGUGAUCUCAUUUCGUCUCUCACACGGGCGAAAUCUUGUCCUGCACAUGACUCCCGAGCUCGGCCAGGUCCUGGUCUCCUGCUUAGAUAACCUCUGCACCUCAGGCUUCCACCUCGAUUGCCGCUGAUGACGUCAACCCACCUGACACCAUCCGGGACCAGUGCUUUAUCUGAAAAGCACCUGAUGCUCUUAAUGGCUACUACAUGAGCGUCUCCGUCACCCUGCCCAGGCGGCUACAGUGUCAGAGUCAGACCUCCUGACAGGAAACAGAGUCAUAAUGACAGGACAUGGGUCCCACUAGCAUGAGCCCUCCGUCCUGUCCUCCACCCCUGCUCUAUAAAUACCCCUCAUGUACUUCCAACAAGUAAGCAUACUGUUCAUUCACAUAUACUAUUGCUUUUCUCUCGUUCUCAUAUUAACUUGAUCGUCGGAGUGAUCCCAGGGGAGAAGUCUCGCCAUUCACUUCGGAUAAGCAAAUACACUUCACUUCAUCUGAGAAGGGACUAAUUUAAGUCGGUUCAGUUACCCACAAAAAAUCACCUCUUCAGCACCCAUCAGGGAGCAAUGUUGCAUCUUCGUGUAACUUCUCUCUCUGUUUGGUCUGUUAUUGUUUGCAAGAUUCAACCCAUUCAUAUUUUGGGCCAAUUGGAGUGAUCUGUCAGAGUCAAAAAUUUCAGAAUCAGCAGCAGCAACAACAACAACCCCCACCCCCCCGGGGGGCCAAAAAAAAAAAAGAGAGAUUUUGGUCCUAUAUUUCUGUGUCACUGUCCAGGCAGCCUUUCGUUCUUUGUCUGAAUAAUCAGUUUUUUAUUCUCGUAGGCGGGAUCAAGAUUUCUGGUCAGUAUCAUGGUCAAGUAGAGAAGUUCUUUAGGAUCAAAUGCAGUUGCACCAUUGGCUCAAGAAAAAUACCUAUAUUAGACGGGAGUAUUUGAAAAGAAGAUUUUCAUUUCAAAUUUGUUAAUUUUUAUUUUUUUAACAGAAGCACAUGUCUAUUGUAGUAAUUUGAUAGCAGUGUUCACAAAAUGGGAAAAAAAAAGUGAAUUUUCAUAAUGUACUACUUCAAUUAUCAAAUGUCUAGUGCUUUAAAGUUUUCUAGAUUAAUGAAUCUUUUCAGUUAGAAAACUUUUAAAUUACUUUAAUCAGUCUUUUUAACAACUAUAGAGCUCUUUAGAGUUUGCAUAAGUUACAGCUUGAUAAAUAAAUAAAUUUAAAAAAAAAAAAACAGAAAUGCAACUUAAACGAGAGCAGGUAAUGCAUUAGAAAAGAAUGUUCAGAACAUAAGAGAAUGCUGAGUAACUCGAAUAAUUAGAAAGCAAACGAAAAUGAAGAAAAAGGUGUUCAUUCAUUUACAUGCAAAGAAGUUUAUAAUGAGAAUACUUGCUGGCAGAAACCACAAACCUGAGAUAUUCCAAAUGCUGUUAGCAUGUCAUACAUGGAGAAUCAAACAAGAAGCUAGAUGAGAACGGAGAAGCAAGAAUUUGCUUUCAUCUGAUUGUCAUCUAGAGGGCUUAAGAAAGUCUCAGGACUGCCAAGAGAGCUGACAAAGGAAAGUUCAGGUGGUCUCAUUUCAUAGCAAGCUCUGCGACUUCUUUUCUAUGUCUAUUCACCCAUAAUAUAACAGGGCGGGCACACAAUCACACAUGGACCUCAAGUAGCCAUGAAAGCACCAGAAACGAUUUGAACAACAACGAUCAAUUCAGGUGCCCCCUUGCAGAUAUCAGUGUAUUCACAAGCAAAGCUUGAUGCACCUGCAGCAUGAAUUGAUAGACAUCAGUUAAAUGGAUAAGCAGUCUUUUGCUGAAUCAAGAAAAAUUUAACAGAACUAUGUGUUAAGAAUUCGUUUAGCGAUUAAGUGCCAAAAUCUAGAUGAACCUGACUGAUUUCAGAGAAAAUUUUCAGUUGUUCCUAAGGCUCUGCAGGCUGGAGCUGUCAGAUCUUUAUUGGCCCGAGAACGACAUGGAGGAUGAUUACAUUACAGAGCACAAAACUAUCUCUACUGCAUUAAGCAAAAAGCUAUGCUUGUAGUUUUGAGCAAUUGCUACCGGUAAAGAAUCCCAGUAAUCCACAAUGAUUGACAACGAACCAACUAUGCAAAUGGGCGAUUUAGGAUCAGAUGCAUAUGCACCUGCGGCUAAGCUACCUUUGGCUCAAGGGAAAUACCUAUAUUAGAUGCGAGUAUUUGAUACGAAAAUUUACACUUUGCUCCUAAUAAUUUGUAAAAUUUUGUAUAGCAGCACAUGUCUAUUGGAGUAAUUUGAUAGCAGUGUUCAUAAAAGAAAAAAAAUUUGAAUAUUCAUAGUCUAUACUACUGUUAAGUACUAAAGUCUAGUGCUUUAAAGUCUCCUACACAAUUUAAUGUGACAGGUUGUCGAGCCUGUACAAUAAUAAAAAUAGAACCUAACUACCACUAAAAGCAGUCAAUGAUUAAUCCUAGGUACCGGAACAAGGACUCUAGGUGUGCAAUGGGUUACUUGAUUCACCCUGUUCGCAAAGAGUUUGUUUAAUCUGAUAUACCAGAAUUAAUUAGUUGAUAAAAAUUACUAAAUAGUAGACAGUGGCAAAUAGGGUCGUCUUCUCAGGGACUGGAAAUAUUCGUUUCUUUAAAAUUCCUCGAGCUCACGAGCUGCUCACGAGUCAAAAAUUCGAGCUCACGAUUCGAGCUGCUCGCGAGCCCGAAAUCGAGCUUCAGCUCGCGAGCCAUAUCGAGUCGAGCUCGAGCCUAGUAUUUUUUAGUCGAGUCGAGUUCGAGCUCAAUUCUUUAGGCUCGUCGAGCUCACCUAUUUUUAAGUCGAGCUCGGCUCGAUAAGUCCAAAACUCGACUCGACUCGGCUCGUUUGCAGCCCUAUAUAGAAGUGUACCUUACUACUAAAUUUAUAACAAAAUAUAGCACGCGGCUGUACAUAUUUAAAGCAAGCCUUCUAAACCGGAAAAUACAGCUGAAUGCGGAAGUUUUAGGGACACCAAUGGUACAUAUAGUUUGAAAGACUAAUUCAUCUAUUACUCAAACGACAAAUUUGCCUGUCAAUUAAACAUACAACAAGAGUUGCCAAAAUCCUUUUUAACCACGAUAUCCCGCCUUCUUUGUCAUGCACCAGUUGCGUAUGCACUGGUCCAUUCCUUUGCUGCAAAUUACCAACAAAGACAAACAUACCCGUAAGCAAGCAAAGAGAGAGAAGACAACGGCAUGAACCUCAAUACGAAAGUUCUUAACCACCAAUUUAGCUCUCAUGGCGCAUCACCUGUUUCAACAGCUUCAGACUCAUUUGACUUCCAAUGCUUCGCAAUGUUAUCCGCAAGGGAUCAUCUGGAUUUGGCGCACUAAGAAGAGCUUGUAUGCUGAAUUCAGACAAGGUCUUGGUAUUAGCUUCAUCCACAUAUUUGUUAAGAACUACUGAAGCAGCAAAGACAUUUCAAAGUCAAUAUAUGACUGCCCUCCUUCACUUGCACAAGUCAUAACACUACCAUUUCUAAAGUUUCCAUAAACUCCACCUCCAAUUUAAUAAGGUUUAAAGAUAGAAAUAACAAGAAUUAACCACUAUCAGAAGGAACACAGUACUGCCUGUAUGAUCUAAGUUCAGAUAUCCAAGUCUGAAUACAAAGCAUCAAGUUUUUGUUUGAGGGAGAAGACCACUAACCUUAAUAAAACUGUUCGGAUCUGGAGAGCUGGACUCCAUUUGUCUUUCAGAAUGUCAAGACAUAUCCUUCCCAGCUAAAAGAAUGAAAUAACUAAAUUUAGCAUAAAAGGAGACAGAGCAACACUAGAAACUCAGAGAAGAUGCUACUUGCCUUGUCAAUGUUGGGAUGGUAUAUUUUAGUCAAAAAGCGAACCUACAAGUAAUAACAAAAGCUUCUAUUCAAGUAUUAUAGAGAAAUCAUAUGACUUGUUCAGCCAUGGAAUAAAAUUAUAUGAAGUUUGUAUAAUUGGUCAAGACCUGACCACAAAACGUCAAUGGUAGAAUAGUACCAUUACUGAUUCUAACAAUCCAAAAGAAUGAAAGCAGGCUGAGAUACAGGAGAAUGGGAGGCGUACAAAACCAUUAAAGACCAACGAUAUUUCCAUUUUAAAUGCUUAAGAAUCUGAUUGUAGACUUGAAGAGUUAUAUUGCAAACAAAGUAUUGUGAAGUACUCACUAACAAUCUACCCAAGCUUUAGCCCAUCCUGACCCAAUUAAAACUUUAAAACAAAAAAUGACAGCUGAUAUGGAAAUACCUUGGGUGGUGCCAUUGGAUAAUCUUCAGGUAGAAACAAUUCCAACUUGAAUACGCCUCCUGAUUACGUGUGAAACAUUAACAGCAUAUACACAUAGAACUACACAAAUAUCUUCUUUAUGACCUAUAAAUUAUUGCAAGCACCAAAAAGCUAAAAUAUGGUAGCCAGUUUCCGCAACUUGAGCACAACGUAAAUUGCACAACUCAAAAUCUGCAUCAUUUGCUUACUCUUGGUUGUUCCGGUUACACUUUGAAAAAAAAAAAUUCAAAGAGAAUCUACUCCUACAGUGAAAUAACUGAAGCACUUCCAUGUUGAGUUUCGCUUAGCAAAGGUAACUACGAGAGUAGGUACAAUGAGAAUGAACCAGGUUCCAUAAGCCCAAUGUGUUCCACAGGGCCGAUUAAUCCUGAUUGUAACUCAAAAAUUUGAUUGAUAUGAUACAUUACAUAUCGCCUAACCUUGAAGUGCAAAUACUCAUUUUGGAGUGUUAUAUCAAUUAAAAAAAGAAUUUUCAAAUUUCUUUUAACCACAAAUUUCCAGAUAUCAGCUAAUCCACAUUGCCACCACUACAUCUCCACCUUAUAUCACAAUAAACAUGUAUAUCAACCACUCUAUUCACGGUAACUCUAAUGCCCAAUUUUACAUUGACAGGGAUGGUAGGACAUCUUGCAAGUCUACCAGUUAUAGUAGGCAACAAAUAUUUCAAACAUUUACAUGCAUAAACUUAGUACUACCUUAACAAUGAAAUUAUUUAUGUUCAAAUUUAAAUCACCACAACCAGUUUAGCAUUAACGGUACAAGACAGUCACCUUAAUUAGGUUAUUCAAGGACAUCAUACAAGUAACUUCAUUGGACUAACAACUGCCCACAACAAAAUUCAACGAAGAACAACCCCUUAGCGAGCUUUCCAGACAUAAUCACAACUGAUAAUCAAGAAAAUCAAAAGUCAGGGAAUUGAACUAUAAAGUACCUUCAUACGGAGAUUGUGCAGGGCCAAGUAUCAUCACAUUAAAAUGCCGCAUGUUGUCUUCCGAAGGCGACGCGCUAAUUCCAGGAGCUAAUUAACACACCAAUCAAACCAAAAAACAUUUCCAAAAGAACGAAAAUCAGAUAAAUAACUUACAUAUCCUAAAGCUAAAAAAUUCUCACAUCCAUGAUAAUUCCAAAAAUCACACAUUACCAGGCAGAAAACUUUCACAAUACAGUUCAAAUUACAAAAGCAGAAUAUUCAUAGCUGGAAUUAACUAAACCAAAACGACUGAUUACUAAUCUUGCUGAAGUAAAUUGGACUGUAUACUGAGUUACCGACAUGGUUCACUGAGAAGACGCUGCGUUUCCUGCACAAUAAAUAGCAUAGAAAAUUGACAACAAAACAGAAUUAGAUGAACACAAAUGCUACUUCAAAAAUUUUAUACAUAAAUUCACUAUUAAAAGAGGGGGAAAAUUGCGCGUAUUAGACAUGUAAAUUAGAGAUUGAUUCGUUGGACUUAAAAGAUGCAAUAAAAACAAAGAUUGAAGGAAAAUUUACCUUGAUAAUUCGUCUCGGUAAAUUGCUAUUUGCCAUAAUAUUCGUAUUUGUGGCGAGCGCAGGAUCGGGGAGAGAGAGAGAGAGAGAGGCGCGCCAAGGGAGGAACGGCGAGGGAAGAGUAUAAACAAAUGGGUUUUCUACCGACAAAGGGCUUUUAUCAAAUUUAUUACCUACCAUCACUGCCUUAGUUAUUUACUUAUAUUAUAUAGUAUCAUAGGUAAAAAUCGGUCUCUCAAUUGUUAUUUUGUAUCAUUUGGGAUUUAAAUAUUUUACCUUUUGUAUCAAUUAGGAGGGUUAGAGGGAUGCAUUUUUUUCCCCUCAUUUUUAAAUACAUUAUUGCAUAUAAAACUCGCUUAAUAGAUUUUAGAAAUUUGCUUUUAUAUUGAUUGAGAUUUUAAAAAUAUUUGUAGAAAUAUUAAAUAGUAGUAACUAAAGUAAUGUCUAACUUUCAAGAUCAUAAUGUCCUACAGCUUUUUAUCUUUCUUUUGUUGAAGGAGGCAAAUUAAUAGUUACCGUGAAUUAAUGGGAUUUUAUUGAUAUUUAAGUUUGCUUCAAUUAUAUUAUUUAUGAACUAUUUUAUUUAGUUUUGAACUUGACUUCACCGGAAAUCUUCAAUGUUAUUGUUUAUGUUAUCGUUUGAUGGAUAUCUACUUCAAACCAACUUUUAAUAUUCGUAGAAUCAAAUUCAAGUCCAGCGUUCAGUAUUUAUAGUCAAAUUCAAAUCGAAUUCAAAAAAACUAUAUGAAUAUAAACUUUAAAGGUCAAGACUGAAGUCUAUAUAAUAAAAUCAUUUGUCUAGUGUGAAUAUAAAUUGUGUUUCCAUUAAUUAUUUUCGGAUAUGAACCAACGAUUUGCCGGGCUAUUGCCUAUCAUAAAUGCCUUAAAUUCCGUUCAAAAAUUCGAGUCUUAUCUUCCAUUACUUAUUACUUAAUAUAUAACUUCUUCUAAAUUUAGUGGUUCCAUCUAUCCUUGUUGGUUCCAUGAUCGUCUUGGACCUAUUCUCCUUUCCCGUACAUGUAAUGUCAAUUAAAAAAAAAAAGUUACUUUCGUAAUUUAGCCAGCUUUUGGGCCAUGAUCCCCUGACCAGAUGUUUUGUUUAAUAGGCCUCAGGCCCUUUCAUUGGACCCAAGUUUGGAGGCUGUAUAAUGGUUGGAGCAUAUUAUCUUGGUUCUUGGCUACUUACUAUUUUCCUUUAUUAUUUAUGGUGCUGUUGAAGUUCUAAUCCCAGAAGAUUAUAAUGGCUAAAUUUCUUACUUCACUAGGGUAAUUCAAUUAUUUCAUGUUAACUAAUAUCUCUCCCUCCUUCUGUUUUCUCCCCCCUUUCACAUAAGAUCCGAAUUUAAUUAUUAUUAUGGAACUACAAGAGAAGAGAGAGUGAAUAAUAGGGAAAUAAAAAAGGAACCCCAUAAAGAGAAUUGCAGGUAGCUGAUUUAUUAUCUUGAGCUGAACCAGCAUGAAGAGCAAAAAUGUUGUUCCAUUUUAGCCAGUCUACAUGAUGGCAACUUAGUAACAGUAAUGGAUGACUCAUUUAUUCUUUGUCUCAGUGCUGUCUCCAGCAGCAAAUUCUGGAAGGAAACUGUUGCAUUUGUCCUGGGAAAAUACAGGUAAGUCUAGGGCAGCAUCUGCAAUAA
This 30357-nucleotide long non-coding RNA is filed under the name Coffea arabica (coffee). RNAcentral's name for it is "long non-coding RNA (CARA_LNC003562)". The record is from RNAcentral. Lineage: Eukaryota; Viridiplantae; Streptophyta; Magnoliopsida; Gentianales; Rubiaceae.